GACGUAGGGUCCAAGCGUUGUCCGGAUUCACUGGGUUUAAAGGGUGCGUAGGAGGGCAGGUAAGUCAGUGGUGAAAUCCCCAAGCUUAACUUGGGAACUGCCGUUGAUACUAUCUGUCUUGAAUACCGUGGAGGUGAGCGGAAUAUGUCAUGUAGCGGUGAAAUGCUUAGAUAUGACAUAGAACACCAAUUGCGAAGGCAGCUCGCUACACGAAUAUUGACUCUGAGGCACGAAAGCGUGGGGAUCAAACAGG
RNAcentral lists this ribosomal RNA (253 nucleotides) under uncultured bacterium. Its description in RNAcentral is "partial 16S ribosomal RNA". It matches the Rfam family "Bacterial small subunit ribosomal RNA", at positions 524 to 776 of the family's 1533-position model. The record is from RNAcentral.